AAGUCGAACGCACUUUCGUUAAUUGAUUUUGAAGAUGCUUGCAUCGAAGAUGAUUUUAACUAUAAAGUGAGUGGCGAACGGGUGAGUAACACGUGGGUAACCUGCCCAGAAGUGGGGGAUAACACCUGGAAACAGAUGCUAAUACCGCAUAACAAAAUUAACCGCAUGGUUGAUUUUUAAAAGAUGGCUUCGGCUAUCACUUCUGGAUGGACCCGCGGCGUAUUAGCUAGUUGGUGAGAUAAAGGCUCACCAAGGCAGUGAUACGUAGCCGACCUGAGAGGGUAAUCGGCCACAUUGGGACUGAGACACGGCCCAGACUCCUACGGGAGGCAGCAGUAGGGAAUCUUCCACAAUGGACGCAAGUUUGAUGGAGCAACGCCGCGUGAGUGAUGAAGGCUUUCGGGUCGUAAAACUCUGUUGUUGGAGAAGAACGUGUGUGAGAGUAACUGCUCAUGCAGUGACGGUAUCCAACCAGAAAGCCACGGCUAACUACGUGCCAGCAGCCGCGGUAAUACGUAGGUGGCAAGCGUUAUCCGGAUUUAUUGGGCGUAAAGCGAGCGCAGGCGGUCUUUUAAGUCUAAUGUGAAAGCCUUCGGCUUAACCGAAGAAGUGCAUUGGAAACUGGGAGACUUGAGUGCAGAAGAGGAGAGUGGAACUCCAUGUGUAGCGGUGAAAUGCGUAGAUAUAUGGAAGAACACCAGUGGCGAAGCGGCUCUCUGGUCUGCAACUGACGCUGAGGCUCGAAAGCAUGGGUAGCGAACAGGAUUAGAUACCCUGGUAGUCCAUGCCGUAACGAUGAAUGCUAAGUGUUGGAGGGUUUCCGCCCUUCAGUGCUGCAGCUACGCAUAGCAUCGGCUGGGAGUACGACGCAGUGAA
This 876-nucleotide ribosomal RNA is filed under the name Pediococcus ethanolidurans. RNAcentral's name for it is "bacterial SSU rRNA". It matches the Rfam family "Bacterial small subunit ribosomal RNA", at positions 59 to 898 of the family's 1533-position model. The record is from RNAcentral. Lineage: Bacteria; Bacillati; Bacillota; Bacilli; Lactobacillales; Lactobacillaceae.